RNAcentral lists this ribosomal RNA (312 nucleotides) under uncultured bacterium. Its description in RNAcentral is "bacterial SSU rRNA". It matches the Rfam family "Bacterial small subunit ribosomal RNA", at positions 202 to 507 of the family's 1533-position model. The record is from RNAcentral.
AUCGCAAGACCUUGCGCUCUUUGAGCGGCCGAUGUCAGAUUAGCUAGUUGGUGAGGUAACGGCUUACCAAGGCGACGAUCUGUAGCGGGUCUGAGAGGAUGAUCCGCCACACUGGAACUGAGACACGGUCCAGACUCCUACGGGAGGCAGCAUGGGGAAUUUUGGACAAUGGGGGCAACCCUGAUCCAGCCAUGCCGCGUGAGUGAAGAAGGCCUUCGGGUUGUAAAGCUCUUUCGGCCGGGAAGAAAUCGCAUGGGUUAAUACCCUGUGUGGAUGACGGUACCGGCAUAAGAAGCACCGGCUAACUACGUG